GAUGAACGCCGGCGGCGUGGAUAAGGCAUGCAAGUCGAACGACCCAGCUCCACUUUUUUAGAAAGCAAUUUCAAAGAAAAGUGGGGCUGGAUAGUGGCGAACGAGGUAGUAAUACAUAGGAACUUCCCCCAGAGUCGUGAAUAAUCCGUCGAAAGACGGACUAAUACACGAUGGUCUCGCGAGAGUAAAGUUUUAACGCUUUGGGAAAGGCCUGUGCGAUAUCAGCUAGUUGGCAGUGUAAUGGACUACCAAGGCUAUGACGUCUAGGGGAGCUGAGAGGCUGACCCCCACCGAUGGUACUGAGACACGGACCAUACACCUACGGGUGGCUGCAGUCGAGAAUCUUCCGCAAUGGACGAAAGUCUGACGGAGCGACGCCGCGUGAUUGAUGAAGUCCCUCUGGGACGUAAAGAUCUUUUAUGAGGGAAGAAGUUUAUUGACGGUACCUCAUGAAUAAGAGGCUCCUAAUCUCGUG
RNAcentral lists this ribosomal RNA (475 nucleotides) under uncultured bacterium. RNAcentral's name for it is "bacterial SSU rRNA". It matches the Rfam family "Bacterial small subunit ribosomal RNA", at positions 28 to 507 of the family's 1533-position model. The record is from RNAcentral.